CAGGAACCUGAAACUGAAGUAGCUAAACUGAAUUCAACCGCCACUAAUUGUGUUGUUCACACCUGUGCCUCACCUGCAUGGGUAUUGGAUAGUUGGGGUAGGCAGGCAGGGUUUGUCCUGAGGGACAGAAGCCAGCGUAGAACAACUUCGUGGCAUGGAAGGCAACUUUGUAGGAGUCCUGCUCACCAUGUCCUUGUAAGCUCCGAGGAUGGCGGCCGCGAUGAUUCCCAGGAACAAGCCGAUCACGUUGAGCACCACUGAGGCCCAAAGCAGGCGGUGCAGGUGGAUCACGUCCCAGCAGCUGUUGACCCCGGUGAACUCAUAGUACUGUGUGUGGUACUCUGUGCUGGAAGAGGGAGGGAAGAGUGGGGAUUCAGGAUUACUUGGACCAGUACACUCCUAUUGUUAUUUUCAUAAAUCACAAAGCAUGUGUGCAUAAAUGAAGAAAAGGAAGAAAACAAAGAAUCCUCCACUGUG
Molecule: long non-coding RNA, 477 nt
Organism: Scatophagus argus
Lineage: Eukaryota; Metazoa; Chordata; Actinopteri; Scatophagidae
Exons: 2
Source: RefSeq, a predicted model, not a curated record